CAAUGACCUUCAGCAUCAUCACAAUGACCUACAGUAUCAUACAAUGACCUUCAGUAUCAUCACAGGGACCUUCAGUAUCAUCACAAUGACAUACAGUGUCAUCACAGUGACCUUCAGUGUCAUCACAAUAACAUACAGUAUCAUUAAAAGACUAUUAUGUAAUAAAUUGAGCAGUCUUUGUGUCCUUUAUACCCUUAUUUUAUAGUCUGGGCUGUCACUAGUACCAGCAGAUGACUGAAAAUCAUAACGUGACCCAAUCCCUGUUGUGAAUCUCAAUACUGGCAUGUCCUUAAAUGACCAUAGCUGUAAAUAGGACAAAUACAAACAAACCUAUAGCCUGUCAAAGGUGUUUAUGGAAUGGGAGGUAUUGUAGUAGCGGGAGCAUCACUUUGGUUUCCUUAGGAUCACUUACUUGAAUAUCAAUUGAUUUUGGAGAUACUAAAGGUAAGCAUGUUAAAUAUACAAUGAGUAUGAUUAGGUUGGAAGUUGAGCGAAAUCUGUGCAUAAUUAUUUACCAUACUGUGCUGUGAUUGGUCAUUUGAUUGGUUGACGGUUUCCGCACAAUUACUUUAUUAAAUGUGAUGUAAUGAAACUUGGUCAACACUCAUAUUAUACAAAGACUUGGCCAAUGAUUAAAUAUAAAGAUAAAUACAUAAGUUAAAGUUAGAGAAAGUCUGCACUGAAUUAAUUAACCUACUGCAUUCUGAUAAGUCAACAAUUUCCUCUCAAUAACUUAGUCACUUCGGGUAGAUUUUGAUGGAACUUUGUCAAUAUUUACACUUUUAACGAUAUCUGCCAGUACUAAAUAAACAUUCUUCAAUUUUAAUGGUUAAAGAUUAAUCAUUGAUUGGAAAAGAGAGUCAAUUUCUUUUUGUUCUUCGCUCAUCUGGUCUUGAAGGACGGGUAAGCUUAUGCGAUACCAUGACAUCCGUCGUCUGUCCAUCAUCAAUUUCUUAAAAACAACUUCUUCUAAACUGCUGAUUGAAAUUGGACCAAAUUUGACUGGAAGCAUCUUUAGGAUGUGGGGAUUUUAGAUUGUACAAAUGGAUGGGUUGACCCCCAGGGUUGGCGGACAUGGCCAAAAAGGGUCAUAUUGCUUUACAUGAUUUCUUAGGAACUAAGAGAAGGAUAUCAACCAUAUUUGAUUGGAAGUAUUCUCAUGGCAGCCCUAAUAAUGACUAUAUAGUAUGGUACUAGGUAGCCAGGUACAAAGGUACCUGUGACAGCCCUAAUAAUGACAUCACUAUAUAGUAUGGUACUGGGUAGACAGGUACACAGGGACCUGUGACAGCCCUAAUAAUGACAUCCCUAUAUAGUAUGGUACUGGGUAGACAGGUACACAUGUACCUGUGACAGGCCUAAUAAUGACAUCACUAUAUAGUAUGGUACUGGGCAGACAGGUACAUGUGACAGCCCUAAUAAUGACAUCACUAUAUAGUAUGGUAUAUUGGACAGCCAAGUAUACAGGUACAUGUGACAGCCCUAAUAAUGAUAUCACUAUAUAGUAUAGUACUGGCUAUGGGUAGACAGGUUUCUGUCUUAGCCAGAUACACUGGUGCUCAUGACAGUUGAACUUUGUAUGAAUUUUGGUAGCUUUUUAGUGAGUACAAGUACUCACCAUGCCCACAGAGUAGUAUUGAACUGGGUUCGGUUCAUGUCUUACGUCCUUUUAACAGCUAAAGUCAUUUAAGGACAUGCAAGGAUUUGAUGGUGGAGGAAAGCCAUAGUGCCUGGAGAAAAACAACCAACCUGCGGCCAGUGGCCCAGUAGUGGAGGGCUACUGAUCGUAGACAGUCAGAAACCUUAACCACUCCGCCACCGUGGCCACUGGUUCUGAUCUAUACACAAAUUAUAUAACUAUUGGUAGAUACAUAAUGUUACCUAACUUUGUCAACUGGAUAACACAACAACUUGGUAGUAAAGCGGACGUAACACCACUCAAACUUAUAAGUGUACCUGUGAGAGGAAUUUUCUGCCUUACACAUUAAUGACAUGCAUUAUUCAACAGUUCAUUAUCACUCAAGUGUCAUAGUACUUACAUUCUUUUGUACCUUAACAAGUAUUUAGAUUAAUCAAAUGCAGACUUAACUAUUCUUACCCCUUUUUUUUCGUUUUUCCUUUCCCGGUCCGAAGGAUCUAGCUGAGCAUAUUAUGUACCGUGGCAUCUGUUAUUUGUCAAUCUGUCCACCAAUAAUUUCUUCAAACAACUUCUUCAUAACGUCUGAUUGGAAUUUAACAAAAUUUGAUUGGAAGUAUCCCUAGGUGAUGAGGAUACAAAAGUGUCCAAAUGGAGGGGCUGACCCCACCCAUACAUCCCAACUUGCAAGGUCAUUACUUUGAAACUGUUGAGAUCCAAACCUUUAACCAUAAUACAAAUGCUGGGCAUAAAGAGACAAAAUACAGUAAAGGUAUUAGACUUGUCCCUGUGGUCUGGCCUCACCCUUAGAGAAUUAGUCCCUGGGUCAUCACAUGGAAACUUUUGAGAUCCCAACCCUAUCAUAAUAUCCCUAUCCCUAAGAUAUUACUUGCCAUCCAAUUUUCAUUUAGAAUCUUUUGCUAUGAUUGCUUAAAUGUCCAGGUGAGCGAUACAGGCCUCUUGGGCCUCUUGUUUAAGAUUGGACCUCUUUUGGAAAUAAGUUGGUCUUAAAGAAAUUAAGUUAGAUUUAUCUUUAAUUCCCCAAUCUGGCUUAAUAAAAUAUAACUGUCGUAACCCAACUUUUGUUCAGUAAGUUCUGACUGGCUGUGUGCUCGGUAUACUCUACACCAGACUGUAUGUUCAGUAGGGUAUACUCUACACCAGACUGUAUGUUCAACAAGAUUUCUUAAUCGGUAGAAGCUGAUAAAACCAUGAUUUGUUUUCCUCCAAAUGAUGUGAUUAAGAGAAUUACCUGGUACCUAAGCAUAUAUACAGAUAUUUUUAUUUACAGUGAAAUUAUAAGUUAACAGACAAUAUUAUCAACUUUGGUGAACACAUACCUCUAAAUGUAGGAAGCUCUCUCUCCAACUCUCUGGUAAUGGAGGUGCUUCAAUAUGAAACUGUCGACUUUCAUUUUAAUGAGGAGCAAUGGUAACAGGAGGAAUGUACACUAGUCAUAUUAAUGUAGCGGAACUGGACUGGGUCUAUCAUUGACGACCAGGUAGCUCAAUUGGUAGAGCGUUCGUCUAGAGUUCGGAGGGUCCCGGGUUCGAACCCCGGUCUGGCCGUUACAUUUUUCUCUUUCUCCUGUUAUAUUAAUAAUGUCGUUGUGAGUAGAACUCUUCUAGGGAGCAACAGACACUUGUUACCCAAUGGUCACCAAGCUGCAAGUAGAUGAAGGGUCCCUUUACCACUACCAAAAACUGUCAAUAUCCAUUGUAGCUUUAUUUCCAGCGCAACUAUAGCUUUGUUAAAUCAUUACUCAAUAGGAAACCAUACUGUGCAGGGCUUCUGUGAGAAGAAAACAAAAUAUUAGCAACAACAGUUAUAUCCAAAAGGAAAUUAAGGGGAGGUUACUGUAUCAAAAAUCCUUAAUUUUUUGCUGUGUAUGAUUGCAUUUUACUAACCAUGGUAUGUUUAUAUACAUAUAUAUCUACCAUUGUAUAUAUCAUAUAUUAAAUACAUCUGACCAAGAUAAUCUGGUCACAUGUAAAUCUCUAUAUAACUAUGUGUAAUCAUGACUAUAUAUUAUAGCCUGUACCUUUUACAUCCUCAAAGAGCCACAUUAAAAAGGUGGGCCAUUUGUAACUAAUGCUUUCAUACUGUCUAAAAAAUUAUACUCUUGAAUAUUCUGAUUGAAAAAAGAAGAUAUGUAUUUUUUAUUGUAAAUACAAACCAUUAUAUAAUAUGUCAUGUCUGAAAGCUGGGCAAGUGGACUGUAUGUAUAUAUAUAGAUAUAGGAUCUCUGUAUAAAACUUGUUAACAAUGUACUAACACUGAUGUUUCUCUGUGAAGUAGUGGAUGUUUCUCUGUGAGGUAGUGGAUGUUUCUCUGUGAGAUAGUGGAUGUUUCUCUGUGAGGUAGUGGAUCAUUUAAUAAUAUAUGUUUAUAGUUACAUGGUUUGAGAGAGCUGUGAUAUUUUGAAGAUAAUUUUUCAAUGCUACCUACAUAAUACAAACUGAGGUCAUACUUACUGUAACAACAUCUGAUACACCUAGAUACGAGGUCAUACUUACUGUAACAACAUCUGAUACACCUAGAUACAAGGUCAUACUUACUGUACCAGACUGACAUAACAACAUCUGAUACACAGAGAUACGAGGUCAUACUUACUGUACCAGGCUGACAUAACAACAUCUUAUACACCGAGAUACGAGGUCAUACUUACUGUAACAACAUCUGAUACACUGAGAUACGAGGUCAUACUUACUGUACCAGACUGACAUAACAACAUUUGAUACACCGAGAUACGAGGUCAUACUUACUGUACCAGGCUGACAUAACAACAUUUGAUACACCGAGAUACGAGAUCAUACUUACUGUAACAGCAUCUGAUACACCGAGAUACGAAGUCAUACUUACUGUACCAGGCUGACAUAACAACAUCUGAUACACCGAGAUAGGAGGUCAUACUUACUGUACCAGGCUGACAUAACAGCAUCUGAUACACCGCGAUACGAGGUCAUACUUACUGUACCAGGCUGACAUAACAACAUCUGAUACACCGAGAUACGAGGUCAUACUUACUGUACCAGACUGACAUAACAACAUCUGAUACACAGAAAUACGAGGUCAUACUUACUGUACCAGGCUGACAUAACAACAUCUGAUACACAGAGAUACGAGGUCAUACUCACUGUACCAGGCUGACAUAACAACAUCUGAUACACCGAGAUAUGAGGUCAUACUUACUGUACCAGGCUGACAUAACAACAUCUGAUACACCGAGAUACGAGGUCAUACUUACUGUACCAGGCUGACAUAGCAACAUCUGAUACAUUACACGUUAUUGAUAUAUUAUACUUUGUCAGCGACUUUGAUCAAAUGUCAACAAAGGCUUUACUGAGAAAAGGUUUUGAUAAUCAUAUGAUGUUCCAUAGGGUCUGGUGUCCAGUAGGUACCUGGGAAUAGAGUGCUAUAAAGUUUCCUAAUAUAAAUGAACUUAAAAUACUUUUAGGGUCACAGGGUUACUUUGGUCAUAACUUAAAAAUGGUGGAGGUCCCCCAUCCUGUAACCAUAUGUGCUGUCACUGGGUAUUAGGAAACAAAUGCAAUCACACUACCAGGAUUAUCUCUGGGGAAGGUCCCGCCCUAUGGACUUAAUCCUAUAUCAUGAUAUGUAAAUAUCCACACAUAUUUAAAUUUCAAACAAAUUUGCCAUCAAAAAUCCAUUUGCUGUAAAUCAAAUUUAUAUUUAGCAAGGAUGUUCUGCUGAAUUUUUAGCCUAGAAAAAGGGAAGUGUUUGUAGAUAACUUUAAAUGAAAAUAUUUUCCUAUAAUCGCUUCAACAUGCAUGUGAGUGGUGCAAGCCUUCUAGGCAUAUUGCAUAUUGAAGAUACAUAGAGUGUCACCUUACAAAAUCAGACUUUUAGACAGGUAAGAUAUAUCCUGUUAUCUUUUUAAGGCAUUAUUGAAACAACCCUUUCAAACCAACCAUAGUAGAUUAAUUAAUAGAUAGCUUAUUAUUGUUGAGUAUUGAAUAUUAUUCUCGUACAAUAAUUUAUGCAACUAAAAUAUUGAAACAAUUGUCACCGAUGUAAAUAUUGUCUUUUAAUCUUCCACACCAGUCUGUAGUAACUGUACUGUUACACUAUCUUAAUGGAAUAGUAACAGUGAUGAUGUCACACCAGUUUGUAGUAAAUGUUACAAUAUCUUAAUGGAAUAGUAACAGUGAUAAUGUCACACCAGUUUGUAGUAACUGGUACAACAUCUUAAUGGAAUAGUAACAGUGAUGAUGUCACACCAGUUUGUAGUAACUGUUAAAACAUCUUAAUGGAAUAGUAACAGUGAUGAUGUCACACCAGUUUGUAGUAAAUGUUACAAUACCUUAAUGGAAUAGUAACAGUGAUGAUGUCACACCAGUUUGUAGUAACUGUUAAAACAUCUUAAUGGAAUAGUAACAGUGAUGAUGUCACACCAGUCUGUAGUAACUGUACUGUUAGAAUAUCUUAAUGGAAUAGUAACAGUGAUGAUGUCACACCAGUUUGUAGUAACUGUUAAAACAUCUUAAUGGAAUAGUAACAGUGAUGAUGUCACACCAGUCUGUAGUAAAUGUUCUGUUACACUAUCUUAAUGGAAUAGUAACAGUGAUGAUGUCACACUAAGCAACCAUUGCGCUAGGAUAAUAUUGUAAUAUUUACUAACUAUUUGCUGACAUUUAAAGGAAUAUUCAUCAUAUAAAAUAGGCAUUAUGAUUUGUACAUGUUUUAUAAUAUGAGAAAAACCUGCCACUAAGCCCUGUGAGAGUGAUUUUGAUAAUGAAUACAGAAGGAGUGGGAGAGCGUGAUAAUUAUGAACUAGAGUGUAAUAUCAGUGUGAGAGGUUGUGUAUGUUACAUCAUCAGAGCUAUGACAGUAGAACGUUUUGUUAAGUAGUUAUGUUGGUCCACUACAGUGUUUAGCUGUGUGUAGUGCUCUAUAGCUUACUGUAAGGUUACACUGGAGAUACAACAUUGUUAUGUUUUGUAUUAGUGACAGUGCAGAAUAUUGUUAUAGAUGUACCAAUAAAUGAUCAGUGGAUAUUUCACUAGUAUCCCAUCUCAAUAAAACUAAAUAUAA
Long non-coding RNA from Mizuhopecten yessoensis (Yesso scallop), 6691 nucleotides. RefSeq lists it as uncharacterized. The record is from RefSeq and is a predicted model, not a curated record. NCBI's taxonomy places the organism in Eukaryota, Metazoa, Mollusca, Bivalvia, Pectinida, Pectinidae. The transcript is spliced from 3 exons.